RNAcentral lists this ribosomal RNA (357 nucleotides) under Escherichia coli. Its description in RNAcentral is "partial 23S ribosomal RNA". It matches the Rfam family "Bacterial large subunit ribosomal RNA", at positions 1 to 385 of the family's 2925-position model. Lineage: Bacteria; Pseudomonadati; Pseudomonadota; Gammaproteobacteria; Enterobacterales; Enterobacteriaceae. The record is from RNAcentral. RNAcentral also lists the same sequence under 1 other name.
GGGUUGUGAGGUUAAGCGACUAAGCGUACACGGUGGAUGCCCUGGCAGUCAGAGGCGAUGAAGGACGUGCUAAUCUGCGAUAAGCGUCGGUAAGGUGAUAUGAACCGUUAUAACCGGCGAUUUCCGAAUGGGGAAACCCAGUGUGAUUCGUCACACUAUCAUUAACUGAAUCCAUAGGUUAAUGAGGCGAACCGGGGGAACUGAAACAUCUAAGUACCCCGAGGAAAAGAAAUCAACCGAGAUUCCCCCAGUAGCGGCGAGCGAACGGGGAGGAGCCCAGAGCCUGAAUCAGUGUGUGUGUUAGUGGAAGCGUCUGGAAAGGCGCGCGAUACAGGGUGACAGCCCCGUACACAAAAA